CCGAUUCCUCUCCGCUCCCUCCUGUGCAGCCGCCGCGACCACCCGCGUCCUCCCCCCGCAGCUGGCGCCCUCACCAUCUCCCCACCCAUCUCUCUCUCCUUCCCUCACCAUCUCCCCACCACCGACGAGCUCCUCCCCUCUUCCUCGCCCCAGAUCGACCAGCAGGGCCGGAUCCUACCGCCAUUCGUGCAUCUCGCCCUCGUCACCGGCCGCCGCUG
RNAcentral lists this ribosomal RNA (218 nucleotides) under Triticum aestivum (bread wheat). Its description in RNAcentral is "partial small subunit ribosomal RNA". Lineage: Eukaryota; Viridiplantae; Streptophyta; Magnoliopsida; Poales; Poaceae. The record is from RNAcentral.